Molecule: long non-coding RNA, 1990 nt
Filed under: Anser cygnoides (Swan goose)
Lineage: Eukaryota; Metazoa; Chordata; Aves; Anseriformes; Anatidae
Description: lncRNA (ENSACDG00005011598.1)
Source: RNAcentral
GGAUGGAGGUGGCUGGCUCACAGCCUCUGCACUGUAUCUCUCACUGGUUAUUGUUUGUUGUACUGCAAGAGCAUCUGCAGAUCCCUGCUGCACAUUCCAGCCUCACUGUUCAGUGACUGGACGUACACCUAGCAGGAAAGGCAUCCUUCUAUGCAGAGAUUACAGAGCAUGUGUCUUGGUCCUUAGACACAGCUUGGGAAGUGCUGUGACAAGAUCCAAAGAGCUGUAAGCUCCUGUAACGUUAAUGUGUUGACUCAGCAUCUUUCAUGCAUAUUACUGGAUUUCAGAGCCAUGUCUAGGGUGACAGCUGUAGAUGGGGCCAGGACUGCCCAUGAGAGCAAUCCCCCCACCCUGGGGUCUGCUGGCCGCUCAGCCUGAUGCAUUCCUCAACCAGCACAUCUAAGGAUGUCCUCCUUGACACCUCUCUGAAUCCACAGCAGUUCCCUUCUGAUGUAGAUCCUGCUUUGCUUCUGGGAGGGUCAAUCUUCAUCCUCUGCAGUCUCCAACAGUAAUAAGGGGAGAAACCUGCAGAGAGGAGCCCACAACUAUCCCAGCUCCACGCACUAGUCUUUCUCUCUCUCACAGCAUCAUUGCUCCCCACUCCAGUAACUGUGCCUUGCCCUUGCAGGUCUCCACUCCUUUCUGGACUCCUUUCUUACCUAGCAGCCAAAAAUCCCAGCCCACAGACAGCGCCACUGUGGUGUCACUUUACCCACCCCACUCCCCCCUUUUACCAGCAUUGCUGCAAGUGGGGGCAAAGACAGGUCUGAGAAAAAGUGCUCAAUGCAACCCACCUGCUAAAUUGUGAGCUGGAAGAGUGCUGCCUUGUCCUGCUACUGCAGGCACUGGCUCAAGGAAAGGCAAACAUCUUCAUGUGCAAUAGCAAAGACAGUAUAGUGUUCUCAGGGUGGGAAGAAGAUGGUAAUAUUUUUGCAUGGAGAAGAACAUGGGAGAACAAGUGGAAGCACAAGAAUUUGCUUGAAAGGAGAAAGGAGAAAGAAAGGAGAAAGGAGAAGAAGGAGAGAAGAGAGAAGAAUAAAGGAAGAAAGGAGAAAAAGCAAAAGUGAAAAGGCGAAGGGAAAAAGGCAAAUGGAAAGGAAAAGGAAAAGGGAAAGCAAAGGGAAAGGGGAAGGAAGGAGAAUGAGCAGGAGGAGAAGGAGAAGGAGAAGGAGAAGGAGAAGGAGAAGGAGAAGGAGAAGGAGAAGGAGAAAAGGAGAAGGAAAAGGAGAAGGAGAAGGAAAAGGAAAAGGAAAAGGAAAAGGAAAAGGAAAAGGAAAAGGAAAAGGAAAAGGAAAAGGAAAAGGAAAGGAAAAGGAAAAGGAAAAGGAAAAGGAAAAGGAAAAGGAAAAGGAAAAGGAAAAGGAAAAGGAAAAGGAAAAGGAAAAGGAAAAGGAAAAGGAAAAGGAAAAGGAAAAGGAAAAGGAAAAGGAAAAGGAAAAGGAAAAGGAAAAGGAAAAGGAAAAGGAAAAGGAAAAGGAAAAGGAAACGCUCUUUCUCUAAACCAUUCUCUUCUGCUAUUUGCAUUUUUGUUUUUCUGGCAGUUGAAAACAAGGAAGUGAAAAGGAUAUAACCGUAUCUAGUGCUUGAUGAGAUUCCGUGCUUUGCAUCUGUAACACAGCCCUAUCGGCGGGCUGUUUCUGCGGGAGAGGAGGAGCAAAACCCCUUCGUCCCCGUGCCGGCCACUUCUUUGGAUCUUCCCCGGUGCCCCUCAAGAGGCUGCCCCGGGGAGGCUCCGGGGGGUUCCGAGGCUGCCGGCACCGCGGGGCUCCGUGGGUCAGAGCAUCUCCUAAGGGGAUGUCCGCGCUGCGUUUUUGGCCCCCAGACGGUUCCCCUUGGGGGAAGGAUAAAUCCGGGCACUUCUCUCCGGUCCCCAGCCCGAGAACAGCGGGGUUAUUUAGGGCCACGCGGCCCUGGAUCCUGGAACAACUCUCAGCCUUCCUCUCCUCUUCCAAACAAUAAAAGCCCUUCUCCAAGUAUUUAAUAAAUACGA